AUUGAACGCUGGCGGCAUGCCUUACACAUGCAAGUCGAACGGUAACAGGUCUUCGGAUGCUGACGAGUGGCGAACGGGUGAGUAAUACAUCGGAACGUGCCCGAUCGUGGGGGAUAACGAAGCGAAAGCUUUGCUAAUACCGCAUAAGAUCUACGGAUGAAAGCAGGGGACCGCAAGGCCUUGCGCGAACGGAGCGGCCGAUGGCAGAUUAGGUAGUUGGUGGGAUAAAAGCUUACCAAGCCGACGAUCUGUAGCUGGUCUGAGAGGACGACCAGCCACAAUGGGACUGAGACACGGCCCAGACUCCUACGGGAGGCAGCAGUGGGGAAUUUUGGACAAUGGGCGAAAGCCUGAUCCAGCCAUGCCGCGUGCAGGAUGAAGGCCUUCGGGUUGUAAACUGCUUUUGUACGGAACGAAAAGACUCUGGUUAAUACCUGGGGUCCAUGACGGUACCGUAAGAAUAAGCACCGGCUAACUACGUG
RNAcentral lists this ribosomal RNA (482 nucleotides) under uncultured bacterium. RNAcentral describes it as "partial 16S ribosomal RNA". It matches the Rfam family "Bacterial small subunit ribosomal RNA", at positions 30 to 507 of the family's 1533-position model. The record is from RNAcentral.